This 402-nucleotide ribosomal RNA is filed under the name uncultured bacterium. Its description in RNAcentral is "bacterial SSU rRNA". It matches the Rfam family "Bacterial small subunit ribosomal RNA", at positions 355 to 774 of the family's 1533-position model. The record is from RNAcentral.
UGGGGAAUAUUGGACAAUGGGGGAAACCCUGAUCCAGCAAUGCCGCGUGAGUGAAGAAGGCCUUAGGGUUGUAAAGCUCUUUCGCCCGCGAAGAUAAUGACGGUAGCGGGAGAAGAAGCCCCGGCUAACUCCGUGCCAGCAGCCGCGGUAAUACGGAGGGGGCUAGCGUUGUUCGGGAUUACUGGGCGUAAAGCGUACGUAGGCGGAUGCGCAAGUUGGGGGUGAAAUCCCGGAGCUUAACCUCGGAAUUGCCCUCGAAACUGCACGUCUUGAGACCGAGAGAGGUAAGGGGAAUUCCUAGUGUAGAGGUGAAAUUCGUAGAUAUUAGGAAGAACACCAGUGGCGAAGGCGCCUUACUGGCUCGGUACUGACGCUGAGGUACGAAAGCGUGGGGAGCAAACA